UUCCAGACUCCUACGGGAGGCAGCAGUGAGGAAUAUUGGUCAAUGGACGAGAGUCUGAACCAGCCAAGUAGCGUGAAGGAUGACUGCCCUAUGGGUUGUAAACUUCUUUUAUAUGGGAAUAAAAUGUUCCACGUGUGGGAUUUUGUAUGUACCAUAUGAAUAAGGAUCGGCUAACUCCGUGCCAGCAGCCGCGGUAAUACGGAGGAUCCGAGCGUUAUCCGGAUUUAUUGGGUUUAAAGGGAGCGUAGGUGGAUUGUUAAGUCAGUUGUGAAAGUUUGCGGCUCAACCGUAAAAUUGCAGUUGAAACUGGCAGUCUUGAGUACAGUAGAGGUGGGCGGAAUUCGUGGUGUAGCGGUGAAAUGCGUAGAUAUCAGGAGGAACACCGGCGGCGAAGGCGGCCUGCUGGACCGUGACUGACGUUGAGGCUCGAGAGCGUGGGGAGCAAACAGGAUUAGAUACCCCCGUACC
RNAcentral lists this ribosomal RNA (468 nucleotides) under uncultured bacterium. Its description in RNAcentral is "partial 16S ribosomal RNA". It matches the Rfam family "Bacterial small subunit ribosomal RNA", at positions 329 to 794 of the family's 1533-position model. The record is from RNAcentral.